This 484-nucleotide ribosomal RNA is filed under the name uncultured bacterium. Its description in RNAcentral is "partial 16S ribosomal RNA". It matches the Rfam family "Bacterial small subunit ribosomal RNA", at positions 28 to 523 of the family's 1533-position model. The record is from RNAcentral.
GACGAACGCUGGCGGCGUGCUUAACACAUGCAAGUCGAACGAUGAUGCUGGAGCUUGCUCCAGUUGAUUAGUGGCGAACGGGUGAGUAACACGUGAGCAAUCUGCCCUUGACUCUGGGAUAACUGCGGGAAACUGUAGCUAAUACCGGAUACUUUCACCGGGGGGCAUCCUCUGGUGAUGAAAGAAUUUCGGUCAAGGAUGAGCUCGCGGCCUAUCAGCUUGUUGGUGAGGUAACGGCUCACCAAGGCGACGACGGGUAACCGGCCUGAGAGGGUGACCGGUCACACUGGGACUGAGACACGGCCCAGACUCCUACGGGAGGCAGCAGUGGGGAAUAUUGCACAAUGGGCGCAAGCCUGAUGCAGCAACGCCGCGUGAGGGAUGAAGGCCUUCGGGUUGUAAACCUCUUUUAGCAGGGAAGAAGCGAAAGUGACGGUACCUGCAGAAAAAGCACCGGCUAACUACGUGCCAGCCGCCGCCAGCG